This 119-nucleotide ribosomal RNA is filed under the name Pteropus alecto (black flying fox). The record is from RNAcentral. Lineage: Eukaryota; Metazoa; Chordata; Mammalia; Chiroptera; Pteropodidae.
GUCUAUGGCCAUGCCACCCUGAACAAGCCUGAUCCCAUCUGAUCUCAGAAGCUAAGCAGGGUCAGGCCUGGUUAGUCCUUGGAUGGGAAACCACCCAGGAAGACCAGGUGCUGUAGGUG